GGGUUUGUGGCGCAAUGGAUAACGCGCCUACGGAUCGAAAAACGAAAAAAACGAACUACGGAUCAGGAGAUUCCAGGUUCGACUCCUGGCAAGCUCG
This is a non-coding RNA of Daphnia pulex (common water flea), 97 nucleotides long. The record is from Rfam. NCBI's taxonomy places the organism in Eukaryota, Metazoa, Arthropoda, Branchiopoda, Diplostraca, Daphniidae.